RNAcentral lists this ribosomal RNA (253 nucleotides) under uncultured bacterium. Its description in RNAcentral is "partial 16S ribosomal RNA". It matches the Rfam family "Bacterial small subunit ribosomal RNA", at positions 524 to 776 of the family's 1533-position model. The record is from RNAcentral.
UACGUAGGGGGCUAGCGUUGUCCGGAAUCAUUGGGCGUAAAGCGCGUGUAGGCGGCCCGGUAAGUCCGCUGUGAAAGUCGGGGGCUCAACCCUCGGAUGCCGGUGGAUACUGUCGGGCUUGAGUACGGAAGAGGCGAGUGGAAUUCCUGGUGUAGCGGUGGAAUGCGCAGAUAUCAGGAGGAACACCAAUAGCGAAGGCAGCUCGCUGGGACGUUACUGACACUGAGGCGCGAAAGCGUGGGGAGCGAACAGG